Molecule: long non-coding RNA, 1201 nt
Organism: Lemur catta (Ring-tailed lemur)
Lineage: Eukaryota; Metazoa; Chordata; Mammalia; Primates; Lemuridae
Exons: 6
Source: RefSeq, a predicted model, not a curated record
CUGGGCGGGGCGAAGGGAGCCGGGAAGCGGAAGCGGUGAGCGCGCCUGGAGCGCAGCUGCGGGCGUGGGGGCGACAGGAGCCUCGGAGCCGUCCGGAGAGCGGGGCUGCCGGAGCGGGCGGCCGAGACAAAGGCGACGAAAUGAAUGCCGAACCCUUACGAAGAGAUAAAGGUUAUUUGGUACAUAUUGGUGGUCUCUGUCCUUCGGUAUCUGAGGUCUCAUUUCCAGAAAUACCAAGUUUCUGAAAUUUCAAUUUAUGAUUCUUCUACUAAUUACAGAUAUGCAUCUCUUGCUUUCCAAAAAAAAAAAAAAAAACAGUGAUGUAAAGAUGGCUGUGAAAGGAAUGAUGCCAAAAAGAACUGCAAAGAAAUGUCAAGCACAUGACCGCAGCUAGACAAUCCAAGGCAAGAUGAAUGUCAGAAGAUUUUGGCUUCCUGGAAAAAACUCACCAUGGACUUUGGUUAUUCAGAAUUAGCUACUUCUUCUGUAAGGCUAUCAGGCAAACUGAGAAGACAGAACACUAACACCACUGGGAAUCCAGCCACCUGGGGAAGGGCCAUGUCAUGCAGUGGGAGAAGCAAAUAAAGAACAUGGACCAGACUCUGCUGAACACCCUGUCAACAGUGCCAGCCCAGGGAGGCUUCCCUGUCACUUCCCAGAUGUCCCUCCUCCUUUAAAACCCAUCUGCCAUGCACCUUGACUUUGUGAAACUGGUGGAGAAUUAUGAACCUAUAUUAAAGAGGAAUUAAAGAAACCUGUGGAAAUUAUCACAACUGUCUAGGUCCUAGGAUCACUAUGAAGCCUCAAAAUGCUUGUAUGAGAAAUACAGUUAGUGAGGAGUGAACACAGAUAUUGUCCAGUAGUGGCUGAAGCCACAGUAAGUCUUGCAGCUCAAGGACUUCUUCCCAGGGCAAAGGAAGUAAGUAAUAAUCUUCUAGAGCUCAGCUGAAAGACUUUGAGUCUCCUCCUCUGGAUGGCCAUACCCACUGAACCACCUGUAGGUGGAAAUGCCACCCCCAAUCUGAAGGGACAGGAAGAAUCAUCUGAAACCCAGACAAAGGCCAGGGAAAAGAGGGGGCUAGCCAGAGAGCAGGGCAGAGCCUGGAAAACUUUCUGAGGUUGUCUCAUCAUGGACUGCAGAUGUGACCCCAAGACGGCUGGUCUGACUGCCCUAGGGAAAGGCUUUCAAGCUUUUCUGAUU